Sinocyclocheilus anshuiensis is the source of this 216-nucleotide long non-coding RNA. RefSeq lists it as uncharacterized. Lineage: Eukaryota; Metazoa; Chordata; Actinopteri; Cypriniformes; Cyprinidae. The record is from RefSeq and is a predicted model, not a curated record. The transcript is spliced from 2 exons.
GGAGAUGAGAGAUGAGAAACUAGCAACACUGGUUACCAUGACUCAGGCUUUGUGCCGUGGAUACGUCAUGAGGAAGGAGUUUGUCAAAAUGAUGGAGAGGAGAGAAGCAAUUUAUUCCAUCCAAUACAACAUCCGCUCAUUCAUGAAUGUCAAACAUUGGCCAUGGAUGAAGCUCUACUUCAAGAUCAAGCCUCUUCUGAAGAGUGCAGAGACGGA